RNAcentral lists this ribosomal RNA (473 nucleotides) under uncultured bacterium. RNAcentral describes it as "SSU rRNA". It matches the Rfam family "Bacterial small subunit ribosomal RNA", at positions 26 to 518 of the family's 1533-position model. The record is from RNAcentral.
AGGAUAAACGCUGGCGGCGUGCAUGAGACAUGCAAGUCGAACGGACGAUCAGGGCUUGCUCUGAUCGUUAGUGGCGGACGGCUGAGUAACGCGUAGGCGACCUGUCCCGAAGUGGGGAAUAACUGCCCGAAAGGGUGGCUAAUACCACAUGUGGUGGUGUGUUCAUUCACACCAGUAAAGCCGCAAGGCGCUUCGGGAGGGGCCUGCGUCCGAUUAGCUCGUUGGUGGGGUAACGGCUCACCAAGGCGACGAUCGGUAGGUGGUCUGAGAGGACGAUCACCCAGACUGGGACUGAGACACGGCCCAGACUCCUACGGGAGGCAGCAGUCGGGAAUUUUUGCGCAAUGGACGAAAGUCUGACGCAGCAACGCCGCGUGAGGGAUGACGGCCUCGGGUUGUAAACCUCUUUUAUCAGGGAAGAUAAUGACGGUACCUGAUGAAUAAGUCACGGCUAACUACGUGCCAGCAGCCGC